Molecule: ribosomal RNA, 540 nt
Filed under: uncultured Geobacteraceae bacterium
Lineage: Bacteria; Pseudomonadati; Thermodesulfobacteriota; Desulfuromonadia; Geobacterales; Geobacteraceae
Description: bacterial SSU rRNA
Rfam family: Bacterial small subunit ribosomal RNA
Source: RNAcentral
GAGUUUGAUCCUGGCUCAGAACGAACGCUGGCGGCGUGCCUAACACAUGCAAGUCGAACGUGAUCCAGAGCUUGCUCUGGUGAAAGUGGCGCACGGGUGAGUAACGCGUGGAUAACCUACCCUGGUAUCCGGGAUAACAUUCCGAUAGGGGUGCUAAUACCGGAUAAGCCCACGGGCUCUUUGGAGCUUGCGGGAAAAGGUGGCCUCUAUUUAUAAGCUACUGUAUCAGGAUGGGUCCGCGUACCAUUAGCUAGUUGGCGGUGUAACGGACCACCAAGGCGACGAUGGUUAGCUGGUCUGAGAGGAUGAUCAGCCACACUGGAACUGAGACACGGUCCAGACUCCUACGGGAGGCAGCAGUGGGGAAUUUUGCGCAAUGGGGGAAACCCUGACGCAGCAACGCCGCGUGAGUGAUGAAGGCCUUUGGGUCGUAAAGCUCUGUCAGAGGGGAAGAAAUGAUAUAGUGCUAAUACCACUUUAUCUUGACGGUACCCUCAAAGGAAGCACCGGCUAACUCCGUGCCAGCAGCCGCGGUAAUAC